UCUUCUCUCGCUCGGCCAUGUCUCUUCUAGGGUUCCCCGUCUCCGCCGCCUCCCGCCUUCCUCCGCCGCCACUGCCCCUCGCCCCGCCUGCCUCGUGACCCCCCCAAACCCACCAUCCCUCUGUCUCUCCCUCUUCCGCUCCCUUGUACUCUCGUCGCCUUCUUCGCCCGGAUAUUGAGGCGGGCGCCCCAUUGCGCACGUCUGCGCGUGUUUCCCUGGAACGUUCCCAUGCCGCGAUCCGUCACUGCCAGACACUCGAGCGGGUCAGGGCAUGGAUGCAGCAACCGCCCCAUUCCUCGCGUCAGUGUGUUCUCCCGUAACCCUAGAGCAUCUUCAAGGUGAGAUCUGCCGCUUCCCGUCGUCUUCACUGUUCCCACGAGCUGAGCCAGCGAGCCCUCAGUUCUCUGCUCCCUCGAUCCCGCUGCUCUCCAUGGCGCCAUCUCCUGCGAAGGUCGCCAUCCACCAUCGAAGGUCGUCGGUCAGUUUGCAAGGGACAUAGUAUAGCUCCUUGUUCAGUUUGUUGGUAUGAGCUUGACCAUAGGUAGUGUAUCUGAUGUUUUCAUUCUUGAUCUGAAAAGAAAAACCAGUUUUACAGAAGUAACAUUUGAAUUUAGUUAAUUUUGUUUGAUAUGUAUUCCGAAUUCUUUUCCUUGCACUAUCUUCUAUUUAAUUUGUGUUAGUCAUCUGAGCAAAGAAAUCUGUUGCCCUUGUGCUACGUCCUGUAUACUAUUAGACCUCUAUCGUAUAUGUGGUAUAUAACUACACUAUCAGCCUUCUUGAUAUUUUAAGUAUUUCCCUGCUAACAAGGAUGAGCAAGGAAAUUUCUUCCCGUGGUUACACUUGCAUAUAGAGGGAGAGAGUUGGCAUGAUGACCACAAUGUGAAAUAUAACAAUAUGUUUCGUGAUUUUGCAAUAUGUGAUGCUUGAAAACUUGCUUUUAUGUCCUGACUCGAUAUUUGUGGCCUUCCUAGCAGGAUGCUUGCAGUUCCAAUACCAUCGUGACUAAUUUGUGCAAUCCUCGUUUUUUAGUUCUAAGCCUUUUGUGCUUCUUAGUUGCGACAUAGUUUGACUAGAAAACGUAACAACAAAAAAGCGUCCUCGAAAUGCCAUUCUGCUUGGUCUGAUGAGAUGCUAGAGAAUUUAGCGAAAUGGAGGAGUUUACUGAAUUAACAGGCUCUCUUGUUAUUUCAAUGUUUUUAAUGCUCACACCAUUAUGUCAUGCAAACUUAUGGAGCACUUGUCUUUGCUAAUACCUCCAAAUUAUUCUCUGCAGUGAAGAAUCAAGCUUAUCUAUUGCAGGUCAGUGUUUUUUGUAUUCAAUAAACAUUUCCAGGGGUGAAGCCGAAACUAAGCAGUGGGCCCGACCACGAUGUGGAAGGCAAGCGUGCUGACGAGGAAGACAAGCAUGUUGACGAGCGUGGGGGCGACCACGAUGUGGCUAGCAGAAGGGAUGCAUAUAGAUUUCUUAUCACCCAUGGGUCUAUAAAUAUGAGAGGUAAAAAAUUUCAGUAUAGUGCAAGGCAUGUUCUAAGUUUCAUCUUAGCGCAGGAUUCUAGGCUUAUGGCAUUUGAUCAGCUUUCUCUUGACAUGCAUAAUUGCAGCACCAUCCCGAUCUUUCCAAAAAUUAAAUUGUCCAUGAUUAUGAGAGUAACCAUAAGAAUAGACGAUAGUGGCGAGACUCGGUACGAAACAGUGCAGGAUCUUUACCCCUAGGACAGCGAGAGUGCCUACAUUCAUUUAUGUAUGUUAGGACAGCAGUUAUGAUAUGAUCUUUUGUUUAUGUAUAUUAACAUUCAAAAAUGUUGGUGAGAUCAAUAAUGUAUAUAUGAGAUGUGGUGAAACUGAACUUAUGUUGUACUCGGCGUAUUUGAUUAAAUAUAUUAACUAACGAACACAUAUUUUAUUUAUCGUCCAAUGGCAACGCAUGGGUAUUUAGCUUGAGUUGUGCGUGGGUUGCUCAAACUGCGCGCCAAUGUGGAGGCCCCGCAUCACCGCCGAUGGGCUGAUGUUGUUGCAUGUCGUGGCGGGGACGUCCGUGUGUGCACCGCUUGUGCUGGGCGCCGAUGUGGUUGCCCCUGAUCAGAAGGGACGCUGCUGGAGCUGCUGCGGGAUAUAGUGGCGGUCCACUGAUGGAGCUAGGAGCAGACGCGGAGGCAGUGGACCCGACUCUCUGUGUAGCGGUGGUAACCUACUGGUCCUUCAAGGUGCUUUGAGAAAAAUCAGUUAGGUAUUGAUUCUUAGUUCUCACUACCUCCUCGUGAUGCAAUUAAAAUUUCAGAUCUUCAUAUUUAUUUCGAACUAAUUUUUUCCGGCUGAUUGGACAAUAUCCGUUACUAACUUACUUCCUUCAAAUUACUUGCCAAUGAUCUUUGACAAUUUUUUAUAGUGUUUUAAUUUAUAUCUAACUUUAAUCCCGUAAAUUCAGCUUGUUUUAAAGGUUCCCCAUUUUUCUUUAAAAAUGUUCUAGUGAAUUUGUAUGUCUGCUCCAUUCGGCAACAUCUGCAACCUUUCAAGUUUGGCUUUUGCUCCAUUGUUCAUAUUGUAUGCUCUAUUUUCAUGUUCAGUCAUUUUGGUCUUUAUAUACGACUUGUGUUUGUGAGAAGCUUUUCCGAUGAAAGGUUAUAAGAUAUAUUACAUUGCCUUUGUUGUGCUCGGGGAUACAUGGUCAUGGAAAAUUAAGGUUUGUUCUUGCUCACUUUUGUUUCCCACCAAUAUUUUGUUAUACAUGCUUUUUUUACUGCUUGCAAGUGACAGCCCGAGCAGUCGGCAAGAUUCUAUUUCUUGUUCUAGAGUGCUAUUGCCAUUUUGCAUGAAUCAGAAUACCAAUGCAGAUGUGCCUUUUCAGUCCGUGUUUAAGAAUGAUACAAAAUUGUAUUCCUUUUGUUUCUGCUCAAAACUAAAAAUCAACUCACAAAUGGACCUGAUAUAUGAUUUUGCUCCACUUGUAGUCUGCACAGGAGAACGUUAACCCUUGGUUUCCAUCACCUUGCCUACUGUGACAAACCUAAUUUCUCUCCAUGUAAUUGCUGCAUAGACUUAUUUGUUUAUAUGUAGAGUUCAUAUAGGGAUUAGUAAACAGAUAACCUUUUUUACGAAAUGGUUAUCUAGGGAUUAGUAAACACAUGUGAUUUAUAUAAGGAUAUUUUCUCCUUAAUUAUUUAUAUAUUCUGCACUGUGUAUAAACAUCCAAGAGUGUAUAUAAUAUGAUUUUUACUGCAGGGCAUCUUCUAUGAUGUUACAAGACAGGUAAAUUGACGCUUGUAUUGAAUUGGGUUCUUCGUUGUUUAGGGAAUCUUGUAGCUGGAGAUGUAUACAUGGUUGACUCAAUCCUAAUUGUUCGAAACAAUAUCACAGAUCAAAGCUUUAUCAAGUCUCAUAAAAUGUGUGAGAAGUGUGAGAAUAGAGUUCUCAGAAAGGAGGCAUCAUGGGCAUUGUGAAAUGUAGCAGCAGGCAGCUUUGAGCAUAGGAAAUAUUGCAGGUUAUGAGGGUGUACCCCAGACAGGGCCCAAAGCAUGUGGAGAGGAAGGAUACCCACAGGCAUUUGUUGGCGUGAGCUGAUGCGAUCCCGCCGUGGCAAUUGGGAUGGGUAGAUUGCAAGGCAUGGUGGAGGCCGGUGGCAGCAUUUGGCAAGAUAACAAAGAGCGAGGCGGCGGCAGUGUACAGCGGCACGACCGUUGUGUGGCAACCGUCGCAUAGAUGUUGAAGGAGCACCAGCGACGCGCGCACACACAUGAACACACACACUGUUGUGUUGUUGGAGGCCAUGGGGCUGAGCGAGGAUGCGAGUGGUACACGUAUGAUUCUUAGUGAUCUGUCUUCACUGUUAUUUUUAUCUGGUUAAUUUGUUUUCUAUCAAAGUAGUUUGUUAGAUGAUGAAAUUUAUCUUUCAUUUUGUUCAUUCUGCUCU
Long non-coding RNA from Triticum aestivum (bread wheat), 3907 nucleotides. RefSeq lists it as uncharacterized. NCBI's taxonomy places the organism in Eukaryota, Viridiplantae, Streptophyta, Magnoliopsida, Poales, Poaceae. The transcript is spliced from 3 exons. The record is from RefSeq and is a predicted model, not a curated record.